RNAcentral lists this ribosomal RNA (207 nucleotides) under uncultured bacterium. RNAcentral describes it as "partial 16S ribosomal RNA". It matches the Rfam family "Bacterial small subunit ribosomal RNA", at positions 568 to 774 of the family's 1533-position model. The record is from RNAcentral.
CACGUAGGCGGAUAUUUAAGUCAGGGGUGAAAUCCCGGGGCUCAACCUCGGAAUUGCCUUUGAUACUGGGUGUCUUGAGUAUGAGAGAGGUGUGUGGAACUCCGAGUGUAGAGGUGAAAUUCGUAGAUAUUCGGAAGAACACCAGUGGCGAAGGCGACACACUGGCUCAUUACUGACGCUGAGGCUCGAAAGCGUGGGGAGCAAACA